Molecule: ribosomal RNA, 253 nt
Filed under: uncultured bacterium
Lineage: Bacteria
Description: partial 16S ribosomal RNA
Rfam family: Bacterial small subunit ribosomal RNA
Source: RNAcentral
UACGGGGGGGGCAAGCGUUGUUCGGAAUUACUGGGCGUAAAGGGUGCGUAGGCGGCGCGGUAAGUCGGGUGUGAAAUUUCGAGGCUUAACUUCGAAACUGCAUUCGAUACUGCCGUGCUAGAGGACUGGAGAGGAGACUGGAAUUUACGGUGUAGCGGUGAAAUGCGUAGAUAUCGUAAGGAAGACCAGUGGCGAAGGCGGGUCUCUGGACAGUUCCUGACGCUGAGGCACGAAGGCCAGGGGAGCAAACGGG